CCCUCUAUAUGUUUUCUAGAAUCCGAUGAAGAGUGCUACCUUCGAUCGUUUUGUCGCUGUCGACCACUGUGUCGACCGUCGUCUCCGGUGACCGUUAAAUCCCAAAAUACACCGGUAGACUCUCUCUAACGUCGAGAAUACAUAUUCGGGCUUAGUUUAGAGAGAAUCGGAACGUAACUCUUCAAAACAGGUCUAGAACCCUUCGACUUUCACCUCGUCGAUUUUCUCCAUCAGUCGUUUGAUCAAAUUUAUUCUGAAGUAUGCUGCUCUUGGGGAUACAUCGUGCCUUCUCACGGUUCAGAUUAAACAAGAAAGGUCCCAAUCAUCACAGACGUCGUUGGCAGAGAGGGGGCCACCUGGAAGACCAACUGGCAUGGAGGAGUUGUGGAUGGGGGCUUGCUGGCACAGCUUCUGGAGUGUUCGGUUGAGGGAGGGAUUGGUUUGGAGUUGGGAAGCAUCUGGAAUGGAGAUGGGCAGAGGCGACGCCUGGAGAACCUCAAUGGGGUUUCAAAACCCUAACGCAUGGAGUGAUCUGAACCGUGAAUCCCAGCUGAAUCUGAUGGUGGUGGAAAGCUGGCGGCUGGUGACGAAGUAAUUAAGGUUUUUCGUAACCCUAUCAUGCGAGCUUCAUCAAUUAAGUCCUUUGUUGGCUGGAUCCAUUUGUGAUACCGAGGUUGUAAAUUUUAUUUCUAGUUGGGUUUGGAGGUUAGGGAUGUAAAAUCGGGUAAUCGUUCAGGUUUCAGUCAAAUCCUGUCAGGUUGGAUAAAAUCGGAUACAUGUCAAGUUAUGUAAAUUUGAUGUUUCGACUCGGAUCAGGUCGAGUCCAGGUCAAAUUAGGUCGGGUCAUUUUCAGGUUGAUUUAACACCGUACAGUUCGGGUUCAGGUCGGGUUAUUUUCAGUUCGGAUCGAUGUCAGUUCAGGUCCGGAAUAGAUAAAAAGCAGGUUAAUUUAGGUUCGGAUGGCCUUCAGGCAUAUCUCGUUCAGAUUGGGUCACAUUAUUGUCUGAUAAAAUUUAGGUCGGAUUUCUAUCAGAUACAGAUUGAGUUCAAAUUGGGUUAAUUUUUAUUUUUGGAUUAAUUAUUUUCGUCUUUCGU
Molecule: long non-coding RNA, 1095 nt
Organism: Hibiscus syriacus
Lineage: Eukaryota; Viridiplantae; Streptophyta; Magnoliopsida; Malvales; Malvaceae
Exons: 2
Source: RefSeq, a predicted model, not a curated record